This 253-nucleotide ribosomal RNA is filed under the name uncultured bacterium. RNAcentral's name for it is "partial 16S ribosomal RNA". It matches the Rfam family "Bacterial small subunit ribosomal RNA", at positions 524 to 776 of the family's 1533-position model. The record is from RNAcentral.
UACGUAGGUGGCAAGCGUUGUCCGGAUUUACUGGGCGUAAAGAGCGCGCAGGCGGUCGUUCAAGUCGCGUGUGAAAUCCCCCGGCUCAACUGGGGAGGGUCACGCGAUACUGAUCGACUCGAAGGCAGGAGAGGGUAGUGGAAUUCCCGGUGUAGUGGUGAAAUGCGUAGAUAUCUGGAGGAAUACCGGUGGCGAAGGCGGCAUCCUGGACCAUUACUGACGCUGAGGCGCGAAAGCAUGGGGAGCGAACAGG